RNAcentral lists this ribosomal RNA (777 nucleotides) under Anophryoides haemophila. RNAcentral describes it as "partial Bacterial small subunit ribosomal RNA". It matches the Rfam family "Bacterial small subunit ribosomal RNA", at positions 1 to 776 of the family's 1533-position model. The record is from RNAcentral. Lineage: Eukaryota; Ciliophora; Oligohymenophorea; Philasterida; Glauconematidae.
AUGGAGAGUUUGAUCCUGGCUCAGGAUGAACGCUAGCGGCAGGCCUAAUACAUGCAAGUCGAACGGUAACAGGACCAGCAAUGGUCGCUGACGAGUGGCGCACGGGUGCGUAACACGUAUGCAAUCUACCUUUAACUGGAGAAUAGCCCCGAGAAAUCGGGAUUAAUACUCCAUAAUAUUAUGAAGUGGCAUCACUUUAUAAUUAAAGCUCAGGCGGUUAAAGAUGAGCAUGCGCGAUAUUAGCUAGUUGGUGAGGUAACGGCUCACCAAGGCUACGAUAUCUAGGGGAUCUGAGAGGAUUUACCCCCACACUGGUACUGAGACACGGACCAGACUCCUACGGGAGGCAGCAGUAAGGAAUAUUGGACAAUGGGCGCAAGCCUGAUCCAGCCAUGCCGCGUGCAGGAUGAAGGCUUUCUGAGUCGUAAACUGCUUUUGCCAGGGAAGAAUAAGGCCCAUGCGUGGGUCGACGACGGUACCUGGUGAAUAAGCACCGGCUAACUCCGUGCCAGCAGCCGCGGUAAUACGGAGGGGGCUAGCGUUGUUCGGAAUUACUGGGCGUAAAGCGUACGUAGGCGGCUUUGUAAGUUAGAGGUGAAAGCCUGGUGCUCAACACCAGAACUGCCUUUAAGACUGCAUCGCUUGAACGUCGGAGAGGUGAGUGGAAUUCCGAGUGUAGAGGUGAAAUUCGUAGAUAUUCGGAAGAACACCAGUGGCGAAGGCGGCUCACUGGACGACUGUUGACGCUGAGGUACGAAAGCGUGGGGAGCAAACAGG